Molecule: small nuclear RNA, 193 nt
Organism: Argiope bruennichi
Lineage: Eukaryota; Metazoa; Arthropoda; Arachnida; Araneae; Araneidae
Product: U2 spliceosomal RNA
Exons: 1
Source: RefSeq, a predicted model, not a curated record
AUCGCUUCUCGGCCUUUUGGCUAAGAUCAAAGUGUAGUAUCUGUUCUUAUCAGCUUAAUAUCUGAUAGGGCCCCCAUCGGGUGCCUAUUGAUGUUAAACUAAUUUUUGGAACAUGUACCAGUUUCGCAAUUCAUUGCAGCUGGUACGCGCGGUUAUGUUGGCUUGCACUGUCCCAACGUUAGCCGCAUUUAAU